CCAAUAGCGUAUAUUAAAGUUGUUGCAGUUAAAAAGCUCGUAGUUGAAUUUCGGAAUCAAUUUGUUGGUCGUGCCUCGGUACGUACUGGUAUUAUUGGUUUCUACCUUCUGAAGAACCUUGAUGUCAUUAAUUUGGUGUCUUGGGGAAUCAGGACUGUUACUUUGAAAAAAUUAGAGUGUUUAAAGCAAGCAUACGCUUGAAUACAUUAGCAUGGAAUAAUGAAAUAGGACGUUUGAUUCUAUUUUGUUGGUUUCUAGGAUCGACGUAAUGAUUAAUAGGGAUAGUUGGGGGCAUUAGUAUUCAAUUGUCAGAGGUGAAAUUCUUGGAUUUAUUGAAGACUAACUACUGCGAAAGCAUUUGCCAAGGAUGUUUUCAUUAAUCAAGAACGAAAGUUAGGGGAUCGAAGACGAUCAGAUACCGUCGUAGUCUUAACCAUAAACUAUGCCGACUAGGGAUCGGAUGAUGUUAAUUUUUUAAUGACUCAUUCGGCGCCUUACGGGAAACCAAAGUGUUUGGUU
RNAcentral lists this unclassified non-coding RNA (519 nucleotides) under uncultured Glomeromycotina. Its description in RNAcentral is "SSU rRNA". It matches the Rfam family "Eukaryotic small subunit ribosomal RNA", at positions 591 to 1113 of the family's 1831-position model. Lineage: Eukaryota; Fungi; Glomeromycota. The record is from RNAcentral.